Molecule: ribosomal RNA, 442 nt
Filed under: uncultured bacterium
Lineage: Bacteria
Description: partial 16S ribosomal RNA
Rfam family: Bacterial small subunit ribosomal RNA
Source: RNAcentral
CCUACGGGAGGCAGCAGUGGGGAAUAUUGGGCAAUGGACGCAAGUCUGACCCAGCAACGCCGCGUGAAGGAAGAAGGCUUUCGGGUUGUAAACUUCUUUUAAGGGGGAAGAGCAGAAGACGGUACCCCUUGAAUGAGCCACGGCUAACUACGUGCCAGCAGCCGCGGUAAUACGUAGGUGGCCAGCGUUGUACGGAUUUACUGGGUUAAAAGGACGUGCAGCCGGGUAGACAAGUCAGAUGUGAAAUCCAGGGGCUCAACCCGUGAACUGCAUUUGAAACUGUUUUCCGUGAGUGUCGGAGAGGUAAGCGGAAUUCCUUGUGUAGCGGUGAAAUGCGUAGAUAUAAGGAAGAACACCAGUGGCGAAGGCGGAUUACUGGACGAUAACUGACGGUGAGGCGCGAAAGCGUGGGGAGCAAACAGGAUUAGAUACCCGGGUAGUC